GCAUCGGUGGUGUAUGGAUACGCACCGAUGAGAUGAGCGGGGAUUUUCGUUGCAAUGGUGAGACGAGGUUCGAUUCCUCGCCGGUGCA
Mycena polygramma is the source of this 88-nucleotide non-coding RNA. NCBI's taxonomy places the organism in Eukaryota, Fungi, Basidiomycota, Agaricomycetes, Agaricales, Mycenaceae. The record is from the annotation of a GenBank genome assembly.